RNAcentral lists this ribosomal RNA (471 nucleotides) under uncultured bacterium. RNAcentral describes it as "bacterial SSU rRNA". It matches the Rfam family "Bacterial small subunit ribosomal RNA", at positions 330 to 793 of the family's 1533-position model. The record is from RNAcentral.
AACAGACUCCUACGGGAGGCAGCAGUGGGGAAUAUUGCACAAUGGGCGCAAGCCUGAUGCAGCCAUGCCGCGUGUAUGAAGAAGGCAUUCGGGUUGUAAAGUACGUUCAGCGGUGAGGAAGGUGUUGUGGUUAAUAACCACAGCAAUUGACGUUACCCGCAGAAGAAGCACCGGCUAGCUCCGUGCCAGCAGCCGCGGUAAUACGGAGGGUGCAAGCGUUAAUCGGAAUUACUGGGCGUAAAGCGCACGCAGGCGGUCUGUCAAGUCGGAUGUGAAAGCCCCGGGCUCAACCUGGGAACUGCAUUAGAACCUGGCAGGCUGGAGUCUUGUAGAGGGGGGUAGAAUUCCAGGUGUAGCGGUGAAAUGCGUAGAGAUCUGGCGGAAUACCGGUGGCGAAGGCGGCCCCCUGGACAAAGACUGACGCUCAGGUGCGAACGCGUGGGGAGCACACAGGAUUAUAUACCCGUGUAC